RNAcentral lists this ribosomal RNA (95 nucleotides) under uncultured bacterium. RNAcentral's name for it is "partial 16S ribosomal RNA". The record is from RNAcentral.
CACCGCCCGUCGCUUCAUCGAAGUUGGUUUUAGGCGAAGGCAGUGCGCUAACCGCAAGGAGGCAGCUGACCACGGUGGGAUCAGCGACUGGGGUG